RNAcentral lists this ribosomal RNA (409 nucleotides) under uncultured soil bacterium. Its description in RNAcentral is "bacterial SSU rRNA". It matches the Rfam family "Bacterial small subunit ribosomal RNA", at positions 26 to 437 of the family's 1533-position model. The record is from RNAcentral.
AGAUUGAACGCUGGCGGAAUGCUUUACACAUGCAAGUCGAACGGCAGCACGGGGGUAACCCUGGUGGCGAGUGGCGAACGGGUGAGUAAUACAUCGGAACGUGCCCAGUCGUGGGGGAUAACGUAGCGAAAGCUACGCUAAUACCGCAUACGAACUCUGGUUGAAAGCGGGGACUCGCAAGAGCCUCGCGCGAUUGGAGCGGCCGAUGGCAGAUUAGGUAGUUGGUGGGGUAAAGGCUCACCAAGCCUGCGAUCUGUAGCUGGUCUGAGAGGACGACCAGCCACACUGGGACUGAGACACGGCCCAGACUCCUACGGGAGCAGCAGUGGGGAAUAUUGGACAAUGGGCGAAAGCCUGAUCCAGCAAUGCCGCGUGAGUGAUGAAGGUCUUCGGAUUGUAAAGCACUUAA